RNAcentral lists this ribosomal RNA (274 nucleotides) under uncultured bacterium. RNAcentral's name for it is "partial 16S ribosomal RNA". It matches the Rfam family "Bacterial small subunit ribosomal RNA", at positions 523 to 796 of the family's 1533-position model. The record is from RNAcentral.
AUACGGAGGGUGCAAGCGUUACUCGGAAUCACUGGGCGUAAAGCGCGCGCAGGCGGUCUUUUAAGUUGGAUGUGAAAGCCUACGGCUCAACCGUAGAACUGCAUCCAAAACUAUUAGACUAGAGUGUGGGAGAGGAAGAUGGAAUUAGUUGUGUAGGGGUAAAAUCCGUAGAGAUAACUAGGAAUACCAAAAGCGAAGGCAAUCUUCUGGAACACUACUGACGCUGAGGCGCGAAAGCGUGCGGAGCAAACAGGAUUAGAAACCCCAGUAGUCC